AGCAGCCGCGGUAAUUCCAGCUCCAAUAGCGUAUAUUAAAGUUGUUGCAGUUAAAAAGCUCGUAGUUGAACUUCGGGGUUCACCCAUUGGUCAGGCUUAAUUGUCUGUACUGGUGAGAUGAGUCUCUACCUUCUGAGGAACUUUCAUGCCAUUUAUUUGGUGUGGUUGGAAAUCAGGACUGUUACUUUGAAAAAAUUAGAGUGUUUAAAGCAGGCUAACGUCUGAAUACAUUAGCAUGGAAUAAUGAAAUAGGACGGAUUGAUUCUAUUUCGUUGGUUUCUAGGGUCACCGUAAUGAUUAAUAGGGAUAGUUGGGGGCAUUAGUAUUCAAUUGUCAGAGGUGAAAUUCUUGGAUUUAUUGAAGACUAACUACUGCGAAAGCAUUUGCCAAGGAUGUUUUCAUUAAUCAAGAACGAAAGUUAGGGGAUCGAAGACGAUCAGAUACCGUCGUAGUCUUAACCAUAAACUAUGCCGACUAGGGAUCGGACGCAGUUAAUUUUAUAAUGACGUGUUCGGCACCUUACG
RNAcentral lists this ribosomal RNA (524 nucleotides) under uncultured Glomeromycotina. RNAcentral describes it as "SSU rRNA". It matches the Rfam family "Eukaryotic small subunit ribosomal RNA", at positions 569 to 1092 of the family's 1831-position model. Lineage: Eukaryota; Fungi; Glomeromycota. The record is from RNAcentral.